GAUGAAGAACGUAGCGAAAUGCGAUAAGUAGUGUGAAUUGCAGAAUUCAGUGAAUCAUCGAGUCUUUGAACGCACAUUGCGCCCCCUGGUAUUCCUAGGGGCAUGCCUAUUCGAGCGUCGUUUCCACCCUCAAGCGCAAGCUUGGUGUUGGGGAUCGCCCCUCCCCCGGGAGGCGGCGUCCCUUGAAUCCAUCGGCGGUGCCGGUGCGGCCUAGAGCGCAGCAGCAAUGCAGCUCGUGGGACCGCCUGGAGCCUGCCGCGCAAGACCAGCAGCGGAGACGCGGCUGAACCUCAAACGUCGACCUCGAAUUAGGUAGGGAUACCCGCUGAACUUAAGCAUAUCAAUAAGCGGAGGA
Molecule: unclassified non-coding RNA, 355 nt
Filed under: soil metagenome
Description: partial contains 5.8S ribosomal RNA, internal transcribed spacer 2, and large subunit ribosomal RNA
Rfam family: 5.8S ribosomal RNA (bases 1-120)
Source: RNAcentral